GAGUUGAUCCUGGCUCAGGAUGAACGCUGGCGGCGUGCCUAACACAUGCAAGUCGAACGGAAACUAGACGCUUCGGAGACUUCGGUCAAUGUUUGUUUAGUUUAGUGGCGGACGGGUGAGUAACGCGUGGAUAACCUGCCGUAUACAGGGGGAUAACAGUUAGAAAUGACUGCUAAUACCGCAUAAGCGCACGGGAUCGCAUGUUCCUGUGUGAAAAACUCCGGUGGUAUACGAUGGAUCCGCGUCUGAUUAGCUAGUUGGCGGGGUAACAGCCCGCCAAGGCGACGAUCAGUAGCCGGCCUGAGAGGGUGAACGGCCACAUUGGGACUGAGACACGGCCCAAACUCCUACGGGAGGCAGCAGUGGGGGAUAUUGCACAAUGGGGGAAACCCUGAUGCAGCCGACGCCGCGUGAGUGAAGAAGUAUUUCGGUAUGUAAAGCUCUAUCAGCAGGGAAGAUAAUGACGGUACCUGACUAAGAAGCACCGGCUAAAUACGUGCCAGCCGCAGC
This 510-nucleotide ribosomal RNA is filed under the name uncultured bacterium. Its description in RNAcentral is "bacterial SSU rRNA". It matches the Rfam family "Bacterial small subunit ribosomal RNA", at positions 9 to 518 of the family's 1533-position model. The record is from RNAcentral.